RNAcentral lists this ribosomal RNA (516 nucleotides) under uncultured bacterium. Its description in RNAcentral is "bacterial SSU rRNA". It matches the Rfam family "Bacterial small subunit ribosomal RNA", at positions 28 to 590 of the family's 1533-position model. The record is from RNAcentral.
AUUGAACGCUGGCGGCGUGGCUAAAGCAUGCAAGUCGAACGGGUCCGCAAGGACUAGUGGCGGAAGGGUCAGUAACACGAUCGAACGUGCCCCGAGGUGGGGGAUAGCGGCGGGAAACUGCCGGUAAUACCCCAUGAUCUCUCCGGAGCAAAGGUUUACCGCCUUGGGAUCGGCGAUCGUCCUAUCAGCUAGUUGGCGGGGUAACGGCCCACCAAGGCUAUGACGGGUAGCAGGUGUGAGAGCACGACCUGCGACAUCGGGACUGAGACACUGCCCGGACUCCUACGGGAGGCUGCAGCGACGAAUCUUCCGCAAUGGGGGCAACCCCGACGGAGCGACGCCGCGUGUGGGAUGAAGCGCCUACGGCGUGUAAACCACUGUCAGGGGACAGAACCAAUGAUCGUCCCCAGAGGAAGAGACGGCUAACCCUGUGCCAGCAGCCGCGGUAAGACAGGGGUCUCGAGCGUUAAUCGGAAUCACUGGGCUUAAAGGGUGCGUAGGCGGACCGACACGCCG